ACGUUUUUGCAACCGCCCGGUCCGGGCCGAUAAACGGUCGUUUGACCUGCCUUUUGACCGGCGAGUCUCAAGAAUGUG
This is a regulatory RNA element of Syntrophothermus lipocalidus DSM 12680, 78 nucleotides long. The record is from Rfam. NCBI's taxonomy places the organism in Bacteria, Bacillati, Bacillota, Clostridia, Eubacteriales, Syntrophomonadaceae.